RNAcentral lists this ribosomal RNA (414 nucleotides) under uncultured microorganism. RNAcentral's name for it is "bacterial SSU rRNA". It matches the Rfam family "Archaeal small subunit ribosomal RNA", at positions 459 to 872 of the family's 1478-position model. The record is from RNAcentral.
CAGCCGCCGCGGUAAUACCGGCGGCCCGAGUGGCGGUCACUAUUAUUGGGCUUAAAGCGUCCGUAGCCGGGUUGGGAAGUCCUCCGGGAAAUCUGGCCGCUUAACGGUCAGAAUGCCGGAGGAUACUCCCAGCCUAGGGAGCGGGAGAGGCCGAGGGUAUUCCCGGAGUUGGGGUGGAAUCCUAUAAUCCCGGGAGGACCACCUGUGGCGAAGGCGCUCGGCUGGAACGCGUCCGACGGUGAGGGACGAAGGCCAGGGGAGCAAACCGGAUUAGAUACCCGGGUAGUCCUGGCUGUAAACGAUGCGGACUUUGUGUCGGACAAGCUAUGAGCUUGUCCGGUGCCGGAGGGAAACCGUUAAGUCCGCCGCCUGGGGAGUACGGCCGCAAGGCUGAAACUUAAAGGAAUUGGCGGG